Molecule: ribosomal RNA, 430 nt
Filed under: uncultured bacterium
Lineage: Bacteria
Description: partial 16S ribosomal RNA
Rfam family: Bacterial small subunit ribosomal RNA
Source: RNAcentral
AACGAACGCUGGCGGCAGGCCUAACACAUGCAAGUCGAGCGCCCUUUCGGGGGAGCGGCGGACGGGUGAGUAACGCGUGGGAAUAUGCCCUUCUCUACGGAAUAGCCUCGGGAAACUGAGAGUAAUACCGUAUACGCCCUGUGGGGGAAAGAUUUAUCGGGGAAGGAUUAGCCCGCGUUGGAUUAGGUAGUUGGUGGGGUAAUGGCCUACCAAGCCGACGAUCCAUAGCUGGUUUGAGAGGAUGAUCAGCCACACUGGGACUGAGACACGGCCCAGACUCUUCGGGAAGGCGGCAGUGGGAAACCUAGAACAAGGGGGCAACCCUGAUCUAGCCAUGCCGCGUGAGUGAUGAAGGCCUUAGGGUUGUAAAGCUCUUUCAGCUGGGAAGAUAAUGACGGUACCAGCAGAAGAAGCCCCGGCUAACUCCGUG